Molecule: ribosomal RNA, 774 nt
Filed under: uncultured Neocallimastigales
Lineage: Eukaryota; Fungi; Neocallimastigomycota; Neocallimastigomycetes; Neocallimastigales
Description: partial large subunit ribosomal RNA
Rfam family: Eukaryotic large subunit ribosomal RNA
Source: RNAcentral
UCGUCUAUAUACGUAUAGCAUAUCAAUAAGCGGAGGAAAAGAAACUAACAAGGAUUCCCUCAGUAACGGCGAGUGAAGCGGGAAGAGCUCAAAUUUGAAAUCUUCAAGGUUUUACCUUGACGAAUUGUAGUUUAUAGAAGUGUUUUCUGUUAGAUGAGUAGCAAAAGUUCCUUGGAAUGGGACAUCAUAGAGGGUGAGAAUCCCGUAUUUGGUCAUUCCUUCUAGCGUUGUGAUACACUUUCAACGAGUCGGAUUGUUUGGGAAUGCAGUCCAAAAUGGGUGGUAAAUUUCAUCUAAAGCUAAAUAUUGGCGAGAGACCGAUAGCGAACAAGUACCGUGAGGGAAAGAUGAAAAGAACUUUGAAAAGAGAGUUAAACAGUACGUGAAAUUGUCAAAAGGGAAGCGUUUGACACCAGUGUUGUUUUUCCGAAAAUCAAUUACGAAUGGCUUGAUUUUGUGUUGUAUUGACCUUAUCAGCUUUCUUCACUUUUUUCGAGUCUUUCUUAAUGCACUUUUCGGUUAACAAGUCAACAUCAAUUUCUUUUGUUGUAAAAGAGUAUUCGGAAGGUGGCUUUCUUUUCGGAGAAAGUGUUUAUAGCCUAUGACUUCUGCAAUCGGAGAGAUUGAGGUCUGCAGCGUAGAUCCUUCGGGGUUAGAUACAUUUGUGCUAAGUUAUAGCUUUCAUAGACAACUUGUUGACUAUGAUUAGUCAUGUCGCUUACUCGCUUAUGCUAUUUUACCUACGCUUAGGAUGUUGACUGAUAUGUAGUCGUA